AUGGGAGUUUUGCCCACAGUUGCAAAAGCGCACUUCCCUCCGGGGCAGCCCCCGUGCGCCCCAGAAGAGCGGGGUCGGCAGGGGCAGAGCGCAGAGACCUUAACGCGGACUCCCGCCCGCCCUUCCUCUCCCAGCUACCCCAACAGGCCCUUCCCUGGGAGUCCGGAGCCGCCCCUGCUCGCCCGACGGGGCGCAAGGAAGGGAGGGAGGUGCGGGAAAGAAGGGAUGGCGGGGAAGUUUCAAGGGGUGUGCCGGGGACGGGGGAGGAUUCUCAUGAGUCAGCGGAUCGCGCUCGGCGUGACUUCACUGCUUCGCGAGAAGAGGCGCCUGGGGCAGAAGGCCGCAGGAGUGGAAGCUACUCAACAAUCUUUUGAGAACAAAAACUCCUUAUGAGGCCCAACCACAAUCUGUCCGUCAUUUAAAUCUAUCUAAGGCCUCAUCAGGUCAAUCCAAUAGAGGUGAAUCUGAAGUUACUGAACAGAGGAAAGACUGCUGGCUGUAGAGAAAGGAUUAGAGGGGACAUCUCCGCUUUACAGGGGAGAGGACUCCUCUUAAACCAUAACUUCUAAAAAUAAAUAAAUAAAUAAACCAUAACUUCUCUCCUGCCUUUUGAAUAUGGUUCACAUUCUGAAAGUCUGAUGGACAGGCGACCUUCCUAGCAUGUGUCUGUGAUGGAAAGUAAGGGCCAUGGCCACGGAGGCUGCGCACUGUGGUAUUUCGUUCUGGCCACAGGUUUGAAUAGAAGUUAUUGAGGCUAAGGGAUUGAGGGAAGCGGGGUGUGGGGGUGGAGGGGGGGGGGAACUAGCCGGCCACCUUGUCCCCAGAGCACCUGGGGUGAUUUGCAGGAGAACAUAGGCCAUCACGCGCUGCUUAAAAGAGGCGACAUAGAGGGGCUGAGAAAGUGGCCAAGGCGGAAAGGCAAGUGGAGCGCAGAAGCGGGGAGGUGGCCCUACACAGGCUCUGGACAGCCAGGGGGUCCCACCUCUCCCCAGGGGACCCCGGUGCCGAGGCCCGAAAGGAUCAGACUGGGGCUGGAGAGUGGGGGGAAACAGGGCUGGAAGGAGGG
RNAcentral lists this long non-coding RNA (1066 nucleotides) under Cervus hanglu yarkandensis (Yarkand deer). Its description in RNAcentral is "lncRNA (ENSCHYG00000026052.1)". The record is from RNAcentral. Lineage: Eukaryota; Metazoa; Chordata; Mammalia; Artiodactyla; Cervidae.